AAAAAAUCACACAGCUCACAAUGUGUGACAGUCACUGCCAUACACAGUGAUAGAGUGAAAGGAGGAGGGUUGAGAGAGAUAAAGGGCAUCCUCUCACAUCUAUCAGGGACUUAGACACUAUCCUGAGGGAAGUGAAGUGAUCAACAGCUUCUACACACCAUCUCUUACACUAGUGUCCCUCUGUUACCACAGCCUGGUUUGGACCAGGGAUAUUCCCUCUGGAGUACACCUAUAAUAGACACUGAACUUCAAAACCUCUGGACAACCCACUCUGGCUACCUCUACCUGGAACCCUCACCAGUGUGGAACUUGUCCUGCUCAUCCAGUGGAAAUACCCACUGUAGCUGGUCUACUAGGACUUUUUCAGGUCUACUCAUCUGAGGUUUCCUCACUAAAACAACCCUUGAGAUAUCCAGAAAGUACGACUGAAAAAAAAUCUUGUUUCUUUGAAUUGGACUGGACAUAUCAUCUAAUAUUAUGGGUCCAUGCAUACUGCAGUUAUGUGUUUCAAAGUGAAGCACAUAUCCCAAAAAGAGGAGAAAGUAAACAUUGCAAUGGGGCCUGCUGCUGUAAUGA
This is a long non-coding RNA of Oncorhynchus kisutch (coho salmon), 576 nucleotides long. The record is from Ensembl. Lineage: Eukaryota; Metazoa; Chordata; Actinopteri; Salmoniformes; Salmonidae.